CUCUUAUCUCACAUGCCCUCCUCUCUAUAAAUACAACUCUAGAGCCCUCCUUUUGAAGACAUACUCCACCUUAUGGGGAUCAUCUCCUCUCUCUCUUCCUCUUUCUCUCCUCCAUCAAAACACCUCCACCAUCUUUCCUUCUCCCUUCAGCCAUCCAAACAUCAAAGAGAAGUUUAGAUCUGAAGUCUAGAGGAUCCACGGGUGAGAAGAGCACCUUCAAGAGUCCAAAGAUAUAGUAGAUUUUAGCCUUCAACAUCUUUAUGACUGAUAAUUGGAGAUUAAGCUCAUACAAGCAAAAAGGACUCAAAUUGACUCAGACCCAAAGUAGAACUCAAAUAUUAAAGGGGUCAAGUGCAACCAAUUCAAGGAUUAAGUCACAAUCAAUGGCACCAAACAAUACAUCAAGAUCCGAUGGCCAUCAAGAGAAGCGUCAAUCAACUAAAAUCUAAAAAAAGGGAGAAAAGGACUUCACAUCAUAUUCAAACACCUAACGGCCAAAGCCUCUUUUCCUUCCUAACUAAUUCUUCCCUCUUUCCUUAAAAAACCAUGCAAUCCCCACUCCUUUAUUCCACAAAUAUCUCCCGCUGCCUUUCUUAUGCAAAUUACGCUACAAAAUACCUUCCCCUAAUUCAAAGUCCACUCUCCUUUACACAUUCUCUACAAAUUGGCCCCACUUCUUCUUUCUUUUAAUUCAUGCAAGGACUUGGGAGUCUGGUGACGCAGAGAAAGAAGAAGGCACGGUUGAGUGGGAACCCACGGUAGUGCAGGUGCGGACACAAACGCGGAAAGAAGGCAGCGGCAACUAAAGGGCUCACGCAAGAAAAGCCAUCACGCAGCCCCCACUUCUUAAAUGUUAUUUCCUUCCAUAUACUUUCUCUUUAUUUCUUUCCCUUCUUCAUGCAAUUUCCCUCACAUCCAAACGCUUAUCUCACAUACCCUCCUUUAUAAAUACAGCUCUAGAGCCCUCCUUUUGAAGACAUACUCCCCCUUAUGGGGAUCAUCUCCUCUCUCUCCCUCUUUCUCUCCUCCAUCAAAACACCUCCACCAUCUUUCUUUCUCUCUUCACCCAUCCAAACAUCAGAGAGAGGUUUAGAUCUUAAGUCUAGAGGAUCCACAGGUGAGAAAAGCACCUUCAAGAGUCCAAAGAUGCAGUAGAUUUGAGCCUUCAACAUCUCGAUGGCGGGCUAGUUCUCCAUCUUCUCAGAAAAUUGCUAUACUAGUUAUAACCACAGUAUUUUUAUUUCUCUAUCUUUUAUAUUUUUUUCUUAUUAUGCGAUAAAAGAUUUGAUCUUAUUUCUUCAUCUUUAUGCAUGUCUUUUAUUUAUUGUGUUCUUAA
Elaeis guineensis (African oil palm) is the source of this 1336-nucleotide non-coding RNA. NCBI's taxonomy places the organism in Eukaryota, Viridiplantae, Streptophyta, Magnoliopsida, Arecales, Arecaceae. The record is from RefSeq and is a predicted model, not a curated record.